Molecule: long non-coding RNA, 489 nt
Filed under: Zonotrichia albicollis (white-throated sparrow)
Lineage: Eukaryota; Metazoa; Chordata; Aves; Passeriformes; Passerellidae
Description: lncRNA (ENSZALG00000013152.1)
Source: RNAcentral
CUCCUGUAAGCACCAAAUUUCCUCUCUGCUUUUUUCCCAGUUCCUCUCAGCAGCAAGAGUUGACUGACUAUAAAAGUGGUUGCUUUAUGGAUUGGAAGAUUGUAUUAAUAUUUCCUCUUAUGCCCUCAGCCUUGUGCACAAAUGAUUAUUUUCUUCUUCAUCUUCUGCUUUACUGACUUUAGAUCUCCGCAAUUGGAAGGGACAGGACAGUGACUCACCUGGAAAUGGAGAGGACACAAGCACAGGGAAGAAGACCAUGAAUGGUACAGAAGGUCACAGUGUGUGGUCAGUCACCACCACUGCAGGAGCAAGAAGAAUCCUUUGAGGGCAGCCUUGCUGAUCCCUACAGCUGAAAGAGAAGGUACUAAAAGAGGACUUUGUGACCUGAUAAAGCAUCAUGCAACAGAUCAAAAAAGCCAAAAUAUUACCUUAGACCGGAAGACCUGUCCAUGCCAUUGUGGUAUUUACAGGCUCCUUUGGAAGCCCUGA